UUCCGGUUGAUCCCGCCAGACCUGACUGCUAUCGGAUUGAUACUAAGCCAUGCGAGUCAUUGUAGCAAUACAAGGCAUACGGCUCAGUAACGCGUAGUCAACCUAACCUAUGGACGGGAAUAACCUCGGGAAACUGAGAAUGAUGCCCGAUAGAACAUUAUACCUGGAAUGGUUUAUGUUCCAAAUGAUUUAUCGCCGUAGGAUGGGACUGCGGCCUAUCAGUUUGUUGGUGAGGUAAUGGCCCACCAAGACUAUUACAGGUACGGGCUCUGAGAGGAGUAGCCCGGAGAUGGGUACUGAGACACGGACCCAGGCCCUAUGGGGCGCAGCAGGCGAGAAAACUUUGCAAUGUGCGAAAGCACGACAAGGUUAAUCCGAGUGAUUUCUGCUAAAGAAAUCUUUUGUUAGUCCUAGAAACACUAACGAAUAAGGGGUGGGCAAGUUCUGGUGUCAGCCGCCGCGGUAAAACCAGCACCUCAAGUGGUCAGGAUGAUUAUUGGGCCUAAAGCAUCCGUAGCCGGCUCUGUAAGUUUUCGGUUAAAUCUGUACGCUUAACGUACAGGCCGCCGGGAAUACUGCAAAGCUAGGGAGUGGGAGAAGUAGACGGUACUCGGUAGGAAGUGGUAAAAUGCUUUGAUCUAUCGAUGACCACCUGUGGCGAAGGCGGUCUACUAGAACACGUCCGACGGUGAGGGAUGAAAGCUGGGGGAGCAAACCGGAUUAGAUACCCGGGUAGUCCCAGCUGUAAACUAUGCAAACUCAGUGAUGCAUUGGCUUGUGGCCAAUGCAGUGCUGCAGGGAAGCCGUUAAGUUUGCCGCCUGGGAAGUACGUACGCAAGUAUGAAACUUAAAGGAAUUGGCGGGGGAGCACCACAAGGGGUGAAGCCUGCGGUUCAAUUGGAUUCAACGCCGGG
Molecule: ribosomal RNA, 914 nt
Filed under: uncultured archaeon
Lineage: Archaea
Description: bacterial SSU rRNA
Rfam family: Archaeal small subunit ribosomal RNA
Source: RNAcentral